GACGAACGCUGGCGGCGUGCUUAACACAUGCAAGUCGAACGGAAAGGCCCUGCUUUUGUGGGGUGCUCGAGUGGCGAACGGGUGAGUAACACGUGAGUACCCUGUCCUUGACCUUGGGAUAACUUCAGGCAACUGGGGCUAAUCCCGGCUAGGAGCUCCUGCUGCAUGGUGGGGGUUGGAAAGUUUCGGCGGUUGGGGAUGGACUCGCGGCUUAUCAGCUUGUUGGUGGGGUAGUGGCUUACCAAGGCUUUGACGGGUAGCCGGCCUGCGAGGGUGACCGGCCACAUUGGGACUGAGAUACGGCCCAGACUCCUACGGGAGGGAGCAGUGGAGAAUAUUGCACAAUGGGCGGAGGCCUGAUGCAGCAACGCCGUGUGCGGGAUGACAGCCUUCGGUUUGUAAACCGCUUUCGCCUGUGACGAAGCGUGAGUGACGGUAAUGGGUAAAGAAGCACCGGCUAACUACGUG
Molecule: ribosomal RNA, 468 nt
Filed under: uncultured bacterium
Lineage: Bacteria
Description: partial 16S ribosomal RNA
Rfam family: Bacterial small subunit ribosomal RNA
Source: RNAcentral